Molecule: ribosomal RNA, 492 nt
Filed under: uncultured bacterium
Lineage: Bacteria
Description: partial 16S ribosomal RNA
Rfam family: Bacterial small subunit ribosomal RNA
Source: RNAcentral
AGUGAACGCUGGCGGUAGGCCUAACACAUGCAAGUCGAACGGCAGCACAGUAAGAGCUUGCUCUUACGGGUGGCGAGUGGCGGACGGGUGAGGAAUACAUCGGAAUCUACUUUUUCGUGGGGGAUAACGAAGGGAAACUUACGCUAAUACCGCAUACGACCUACGGGUGAAAGCAGGGGAUCUUCGGACCUUGCGCGAUUGAAUGAGCCGAUGUCGGAUUAGCUAGUUGGCGGGGUAAAGGCCCACCAAGGCGACGAUCCGUAGCUGGUCUGAGAGGAUGAUCAGCCACACUGGGACUGAGACACGGUCCAGAGUCCUACGGGAGGCAGCAGUGGGGAAUAUUGGACAAUGGGCGCAAGCCUGAUCCAGCCAUACCGCGUGGGUGAAGAAGGCCUUCGGGUUGUAAAGCCCUUUUGUUGGGAAAGAAAAGCAGCAGGUUAAUACCCCGCUGUUCUGACGGUACCCAAAGAAUAAGCACCGGCUAACUUCGUG